AUGCUCGCUUCAGCAGCACAUAUACUAAAAUUGAAAGAAACAGAGAAGAUUGGCAUGGCCCUCGUGCAAGGAUGACACACAAAUUCCUCAAGCGUUCCAUAUUUUU
Ictidomys tridecemlineatus (thirteen-lined ground squirrel) is the source of this 106-nucleotide small nuclear RNA. The record is from Ensembl. NCBI's taxonomy places the organism in Eukaryota, Metazoa, Chordata, Mammalia, Rodentia, Sciuridae.